RNAcentral lists this ribosomal RNA (413 nucleotides) under uncultured bacterium. Its description in RNAcentral is "bacterial SSU rRNA". It matches the Rfam family "Bacterial small subunit ribosomal RNA", at positions 68 to 507 of the family's 1533-position model. The record is from RNAcentral.
UGAGAGGUUCUCACGAGUAGUAUUUAGUGGCGGACGGGUGAGUAACACGUUGGAACCUGCCCCGAAGUGGGGAAUAACUGCUCGAAAGAGUAGCUAAUACCCCAUAGUAUCCGGGUUUAUCCGGGAUUAAAGAUUUAUCGCUUCGGGAGGGGCCUGCGUCUGAUUAGCUAGUUGGUGAGGUAAAAGCUCACCAAGGCGACGAUCAGUAGCUGGUUCGAGAGGAUGACCAGCCACACUGGGACUGAGAUACGGCCCAGACUCCUACGGGAGGCAGCAGUGAGGAAUCUUCCACAAUGGGCGCAAGCCUGAUGGAGCAAUACCGCGUGCAGGAAGACGUCUUUUCGGAGUGUAAACUGCUUUUGUCGUCGAAGAUUAUGACUGUAGACGAAGAAUAAGGACCGGCUAACUACGUG